GACGAACGCUGGCGGCGUGCCUAAUACAUGCAAGUCGAGCGAACCAAUAAGAAGCUUGCUUUUUGUUGGUUAGCGGCGGACGGGUGAGUAACACGUGGGUAACCUGCCUGUAAGACCGGGAUAACUCCGGGAAACCGGUGCUAAUACCGGAUAGAUUAUCUUUCCGCAUGGAGAGAUAAGGAAAGAUGGCUAUUGCCAUCACUUACAGAUGUGCCCGCGGCGCAUUAGCUAGUUGGUGAGGUAACGGCUCACCAAGGCGACGAUGCGUAGCCGACCUGAGAGGAUGAUCAGCCACACUGGAACUGAGACACGGCCCAGACUCCUACGGGAGGCAGCAGUAGGGAAUAUUCCGCAAUGGGCGAAAGUCUGACGGAGCAACGCCGCGUGAGCGAAGAAGGUCUUCGGAUCGUAAAGCUCUGUUGUUAGGGAAGAACAAGUAUCGGAGGAAAUGCCGGUACCUUGACGGUACCUAACGAGAAAGCCACGGCUAACUACGUG
RNAcentral lists this ribosomal RNA (498 nucleotides) under uncultured bacterium. RNAcentral describes it as "partial 16S ribosomal RNA". It matches the Rfam family "Bacterial small subunit ribosomal RNA", at positions 28 to 507 of the family's 1533-position model. The record is from RNAcentral.